GACGAACGCUGGCGGCGUGCUUAACACAUGCAAGUCGAACGGGAUUUAGUAAACAGAAACCUCGGUGGAAGAUUACUAAUGAGAGUGGCGAACGGGUGAGUAACGCGUGAGCAACCUGCCUAUGACAGUGGGAUAGCCUCGGGAAACCGGGAUUAAUACCGCAUAAAAUCGUAGAAACACAUGUUUUAACGGUCAAAGAUUUAUCGGUCAUAGAUGGGCUCGCGUCUGAUUAGCUAGUUGGUGAGAUAACAGCCCACCAAGGCGACGAUCAGUAGCCGGUCUGAGAGGAUGACCGGCCACAUUGGAACUGAGACACGGUCCAAACUCCUACGGGAGGCAGCAGUGGGGAAUAUUGCACAAUGGGGGAAACCCUGAUGCAGCGACGCCGCGUGAACGAAGAAGGUAUUCGUAUCGUAAAGUUCUGUCCUAUGGGAAGAUAAUGACAGUACCAUAGAAGAAAGCUCCGGCUAAAUACGUG
RNAcentral lists this ribosomal RNA (478 nucleotides) under uncultured bacterium. RNAcentral describes it as "partial 16S ribosomal RNA". It matches the Rfam family "Bacterial small subunit ribosomal RNA", at positions 28 to 507 of the family's 1533-position model. The record is from RNAcentral.